This 318-nucleotide long non-coding RNA is filed under the name Mytilus galloprovincialis (Mediterranean mussel). Lineage: Eukaryota; Metazoa; Mollusca; Bivalvia; Mytilida; Mytilidae. The record is from RNAcentral.
UUCAUUUCAUUUUUAUGCCCCACCUACGAUAGUAGAGGGGCAUUAUGUUUUCUGGUCUGUGCGUCCGUUCGUUCGUCCGUCCGUCCGUCCGUUCGUUCGUCCGUCCGUCUGUCCCGCUUCAGGUUAAAGUUUUUGGUCAAGGUAGUUUUUGAUGAAGUUGAAGUCCAAUCGACUUCAAACUUAGUACACAUGUUCCCUAUGAUAUGAUCUUUCUAAUUUUAAUGCCAAAUUAGAGUUUUUACCCAAAUUUCACGGUCCACUGAACAUGGAAAAUGAUAGUGUGUGGGGCAUUCGUGUACUGAGGACACAUUCUUGUUU